AACGUGGGUAUCCCGGGAGGUCACCCUCCUUGGGCGCUGUCCAGGUGGCGGAGGGGACCAUAGGGGCUCAGCCCUGUGAGAUGUAGCCCUUUUCCACGAUGUUAAAAGAUGAAGCAGAGUCUAGAGUCUCCACUUGUAUAUUCUGAUGGCUUCUCAGAGCCCUGGACACAAUGAUUGAGGGGACAGACCAUGCAGGAAACAUCU
Molecule: small nucleolar RNA, 204 nt
Organism: Hyaena hyaena (striped hyena)
Lineage: Eukaryota; Metazoa; Chordata; Mammalia; Carnivora; Hyaenidae
Product: small nucleolar RNA SNORA73 family
Exons: 1
Source: RefSeq, a predicted model, not a curated record